UACAGAGGGGGCAAGCGUUGUUCGGAAUUACUGGGCGUAAAGGGCGCGUAGGCGGCCCGCUAAGUCGAACGUGAAAUCCCCGGGCUCAACCCGGGAACUGCGUCCGAUACUGGUGGGCUCGAAUCCGGGAGAGGGAUGUGGAAUUCCAGGUGUAGCGGUGAAAUGCGUAGAUAUCUGGAGGAACACCGGUGGCGAAGGCGACAUCCUGGACCGGUAUUGACGCUGAGGCGCGAAAGCCAGGGGAGCAAACGGG
RNAcentral lists this ribosomal RNA (253 nucleotides) under uncultured bacterium. RNAcentral describes it as "partial 16S ribosomal RNA". It matches the Rfam family "Bacterial small subunit ribosomal RNA", at positions 524 to 776 of the family's 1533-position model. The record is from RNAcentral.